Long non-coding RNA from Triplophysa dalaica, 629 nucleotides. RefSeq lists it as uncharacterized. The record is from RefSeq and is a predicted model, not a curated record. The transcript has 3 exons. NCBI's taxonomy places the organism in Eukaryota, Metazoa, Chordata, Actinopteri, Cypriniformes, Nemacheilidae.
CACAAAUCGGUCCUUUCAAUCCUACAGACUCUCUUGUCUGAUAUGGCACAGAGAUGAUCCACUUGCAGGCAAUGGUCUAGCUGAAAACGGACUGGAACAAUUCCAGAACGUUCUCACGAGAUGACUGUCCGUAGGUUGAGGCAUCACGCUGCCAAAGGAUAGCUUUGGCAUUUUGCCUAACGCUUGCAUUUUAUUUUUUUUUUGGAGGAGAGGAGGAGGAGUCUGCCACGGGACUCAGCACUCGUGUCCAUUGCCCUGCUCCAGUGGCUCUUGAGGGGUGUUCAUUCAGAAACCUUCAUCAGUCCUCUGGUUGGGGUUCAGUGGACCUGCAGUGUACAGCACCAGAUCCAUGCGCUGCUGAUGAAGCACCAGAAACUAGAAGCAACCUAAGAAACUCCUACAACCUAUGAAACGCAACAUAAGCAACAUGACGCUUAAAGACACGUGAAGUCGACUACUUAUCCCUUACCUUUUCCUAUGGUCGGCUUCUGGUCGUCUGUUGCUUGGUUGGCAGGUCAUGGGGAUGGUCUGCUGUGAAAUGACCUAUUUUUUUUUUUUUUUUUUUUUAAAGGCUGAGUGCAAAUUUCAGAAAAAAAUAAAAACAGAAAAAUAUGUGAAACUGAAACAAA